RNAcentral lists this long non-coding RNA (1629 nucleotides) under Canis lupus dingo (dingo). Its description in RNAcentral is "lncRNA (ENSCAFG00020008651.1)". The record is from RNAcentral. Lineage: Eukaryota; Metazoa; Chordata; Mammalia; Carnivora; Canidae.
GUGACCCGCGGCCCUGCGCGACCCGCGCUCGGCGCCCCGGCUCCGCGCGCCUCUGCCGAGCCAGCCCCUCGGGUCCCCGGUCCCAGGAGUUCGCGGUGACCUGCGCGCGUGCGGGGCCCCGGCCCCGGCCCCGGCCCCGGCCCCCGCCCUCAGCCCCGGGCGGAGCAAAGGGAAAAGCCGCCGAGGACGGAGGGGCGCACCCCGGGGGCCGACUCAGAGCCUGCCAGCCUCCCGGGGCGCUGGACCAAUGCUGGGCGCUCGAUACGCGCAGAAGUCGGGGAAGAAGAGCAGGUCAGCGCGGGGCGCCUGAGGCGGGUCCCUGAGGAGAAGGGCUGUGAGUGUCGGAAACACCGAGACGCGAGAACGCGGAGGCCAAGCUUUUAGGGACACUGAACGUUCGGGACAGGAUAUAAUUAGAGCCGGCAGUUUUGAGGGACAGUUCGCCGGAAUUAUCCUCCUAACCGUAUGAGAUUCAUGUGCUCCCAGCUGCCCAAUCAGGUCCUGAAGAACAUCAGCAUCAUUGACAGCCCUGGAAUCCUGUUUGGGGAGAAGCACCGCAUCAGCCGAGGUCAGUGUCCACCCCAGGCCCAUCCCUACUCCGGGGCUGCUGAGGCUCACUGUCAGGCAGCAGAGGAUUUCUGUCUCUAGAGGAUUCUGUCCACCCCCAGGAUGCCUUCAGCAUCCCUGGACAGCCUGGGGGUCCGAGAAACAAUUGGGAGGCAUAGAUAGCAUCAGAGGUUCUGCAUUUAUAUGGUAAAUGCAUGUUUAUAUAGUCCCAAUUUAAGAGCCUCUUGUGCUCUAGGCAUUGUUAUCUUUUGAGAUCAUUUGUAGUAACCUAUAUACAUGUUAAAAUAUACAAUCAUAUUCCAAAUCAAAUAUCAUAAUUCACUAUAAAAAUGUUGAAUUUUGUGUAAUUUUUCUUUUGAAAUUAUUAAGCUACAAGCAAGUAAUGUUUAAUGUGUGUUUGGUUAUCAUUUCCCAAAAAUUAUCAUACAAUUUUGUGAAUUUUGUAUAAAAUGAAAUUAAAUGUCACUUUCAAAUACUUUUUUUUCUUCUUGUUAACACAGUGUUACAUUAGUUUCAGGUGCACAAUAUAAUAAUUCAGCACUUCCAUGCAAUACCCGGUGCUCACCACAAGUGCACUCCUUCAUCCCCAUCAUCUAUUUCACCUGUCCCCCACCCAUGUCCACUUCAGUAACCAUCAGUUUGUUCUCUAUAGUUAAGAGUCUGUUUCUUUUCUUUUCUUUUUUUUUUUUUUUAAGAUUUUUAAGUAAUCUCCAUACCCAACAUGAGGUUCAAACCUACAACCCUGAGAUCAAGAAUCACAUGCUCCACUAACUGAGCCAGCCAGGAUCCCAAGAGUCUGUUUCUUAUUUUGUCUCUUUCUCUCUCUUUAACCCUCAAAUAUUUUUCAAAUGUAAUUAAACUGCUUUUGAAUACUAAUUACAUAAUUAAUGAGCUUCAUGUGUUACAUGUGUAGACAUUUAAUUGUUCUAUUUAUUUCCAAAGAAUUGAUUACACACAAACAUAACUUUUGUUUUAGAUGUAAUAUUUUUUAAAUUAUAUGGAAAACAAAUCAACCAAUCCAGAAAAAUAUAAAUAAAAAAAUCAAAUCCUUUUUUCCUAUCA